UUCCUACGGGGGGCAGCAGUGGGGAAUAUUGCACAAUGGGGGAAACCCUGAUGCAGCGACGCCGCGUGAGCGAAGAAGUAUUUCGGUAUGUAAAGCUCUAUCAGCAGGGAAGAAAAAUGACGGUACCUGAGUAAGAAGCACCGGCUAAAUAUGUGCCAGCAGCCGCGGUAAUACGUAGGGUGCAAGCGUUAUCCGGAUUUACUGGGUGUAAAGGGCGAGUAGACGGCGUUGCAAGUCAGAUGUGAAAGGCUAGGGCUCAACCUUAGGAGAGCAUCUGAAACUGUAAUGCUAGAGUGCAGGAGAGG
Molecule: ribosomal RNA, 305 nt
Filed under: uncultured bacterium
Lineage: Bacteria
Description: bacterial SSU rRNA
Rfam family: Bacterial small subunit ribosomal RNA
Source: RNAcentral